RNAcentral lists this ribosomal RNA (339 nucleotides) under Didymium melanospermum. RNAcentral describes it as "bacterial SSU rRNA". It matches the Rfam family "Eukaryotic small subunit ribosomal RNA", at positions 80 to 367 of the family's 1831-position model. The record is from RNAcentral. Lineage: Eukaryota; Evosea; Eumycetozoa; Physariida; Didymiaceae.
UCUGAAUCUUGCGAACGGCUCCGCAAACCAGUUGUAAACUAUAGCAAGCAAGCCUUGUGCCUGCCUUCACGGGUGGGUGCUUGGCGAUAUGGAUAACCCUGGUAAUUCUGAGGCUAAUACAAGAACGUAAAACCUGGCUGACUGCUUUCGUGGAAGGCUGGGGGACGUGCGAGUUGUGUCGCGAGAAUUUUCCGGGAAUGGACGCACGUUCAGACCGCGCUAAAAAGGAUCGGCUUCCCUUCACGGGGGGGCUGGCCCCAGCGGCUCUUGCUUUGUGCUUCUGACCUAUCAACUAGAUGGCAGCGUAACGGACAUGCUAUGGUGACAACGGGUACAGAG